This 251-nucleotide ribosomal RNA is filed under the name uncultured bacterium. RNAcentral's name for it is "partial 16S ribosomal RNA". It matches the Rfam family "Bacterial small subunit ribosomal RNA", at positions 524 to 776 of the family's 1533-position model. The record is from RNAcentral.
UACGGAGGAUGCAAGCGUUAUCCGGAAUGAUUGGGCGUAAAGCGCCCAGGUGGCUAUGUAAGUCUGCUGUUAAAGAGUCUAGCUCAACUAGAUAAAAGCAGUGGAAACUACAAGGCUAGAGUACGUUCGGGGCAGAGGGAAUUCCUGGUGUAGCGGUGAAAUGCGUAGAGAUCAGGAAGAACACCAGUGGCGAAGGCGCUCUGCUAGGCCGUAACUGACACUGAGGGACGAAAGCUAGGGGAGCGAAUGGG